This 29-nucleotide non-coding RNA is filed under the name Mus musculus (house mouse). The record is from RNAcentral. Lineage: Eukaryota; Metazoa; Chordata; Mammalia; Rodentia; Muridae.
AGAAAAGGGUGCAGACGAGGAAGCCUUCA